CUCACUUGGAAGCAGGCUGAUGAUUGUGCACUCGCUGAAGACACGCUGCCGGAGAAGACGUGGAAGUGUGUGGAAGAGUGCCAGAGCAGGGAGUGUGACACAAAUACAUUUUUUACACAACAGCAAGAGGUGUUUAAUGUUCUCUAAUCAACAGUCAUCCCUGCAAUGCUCUUCCAAGGCAAUGAACACUCAUGAG
Molecule: long non-coding RNA, 196 nt
Organism: Bombina bombina (fire-bellied toad)
Lineage: Eukaryota; Metazoa; Chordata; Amphibia; Anura; Bombinatoridae
Exons: 3
Source: RefSeq, a predicted model, not a curated record